CCUACGUGAGGCUGCAGUGGGGAAUAUUGGGCAAUGGGCGCAAGCCUGACCCAGCAACGCCGCGUGAAGGAAGAAGGCUUUCGGGUUGUAAACUUCUUUUCUCAGGGACGAAGAAAGUGACGGUACCUGAGGAAUAAGCCACGGCUAACUACGUGCCAGCAGCCGCGGUAAUACGUAGGUGGCAAGCGUUAUCCGGAUUUACUGGGUGUAAAGGGCGUGUAGGCGGGGAAGCAAGUCAGAUGUGAAAACCACGGGCUCAACCUGUGGCCUGCAUUUGAAACUGUUUUUCUUGAGUACUGGAGAGGCAGAUGGAAUUCCUAGUGUAGCGGUGAAAUGCGUAGAUAUUAGGAGGAACACCAGGGGCGAAGGCGGUCUGCUGGACAGCAACUGACGCUGAGGCGCGAAAGCGUGGGGAGCAAACAGGAUUAGAUACCCCAGUAGUC
This 443-nucleotide ribosomal RNA is filed under the name uncultured bacterium. Its description in RNAcentral is "partial 16S ribosomal RNA". It matches the Rfam family "Bacterial small subunit ribosomal RNA", at positions 338 to 795 of the family's 1533-position model. The record is from RNAcentral.